UACGAAGGAGGCUAGCGUUGCUCGGAAUUACUGGGCGUAAAGGGUGCGUAGGCGGCGCGGUAAGUCGGGUGUGAAAUCUCGGAGCUUAACUCCGAAACUGCAUUCGAUACUGCCGUGCUUGAGGACUGGAGAGGAGACUGGAAUUUACGGUGUAGCGGUGAAAUGCGUAGAUAUCGUAAGGAAGACCAGUGGCGAAGGCGGGUCUCUGGACAGUUCCUGACGCUGAGGCACGAAGGUCAGGGGAGCAAACGGG
Molecule: ribosomal RNA, 253 nt
Filed under: uncultured bacterium
Lineage: Bacteria
Description: partial 16S ribosomal RNA
Rfam family: Bacterial small subunit ribosomal RNA
Source: RNAcentral